RNAcentral lists this long non-coding RNA (1185 nucleotides) under Canis lupus familiaris (dog). RNAcentral's name for it is "lncRNA (ENSCAFG00040009067.1)". Lineage: Eukaryota; Metazoa; Chordata; Mammalia; Carnivora; Canidae. The record is from RNAcentral.
AUGCGGGUGGUGGGGGCUGGGUGCGCUGGACACUCCCUGGGCCCCCACUUCCCGGCCCCCUCCCCGUGCCCCAAGCCUGGGCACCCCGGCCCCCACUCCCCACCCCCCCUCCCUGCCCCACCGCCCCCAGCCCGGACACCCUGGGCGGCCCCUACUCCCUGGCCCCCCGCUCCUCGCGCCCCAGCCUGGCCGCCACGGUCCCCACUUCCCACCCCUGGUCCCCGUGCCCCAAGCCCGGCCACCCCGGCCCCCCUCUCCGCCCUGCCACCCACCCGCUGGAACCCAGCCCGCGGGGCCCGCAAAGUCUGCGCGCAAACUUCCCGCCGCAACCGCGCCCAGUGCCAGCUGCCAUCCGGGCCCCGCAGGAUAGCGACAUGGAGCCCCGCAGGGGAAACUGAGGCCCAGCGCCGGCGCGCCCCGCUCCCGCGCCCCACAGUCACUCACUUGGCUGGAGUCUCCCGAAGCCGCCGCCGCCUCGCGGCCCCCGACGCCGACUCGCACCCACCGAAGUUGGCGGCCCGACUGCCGCGCGUGCGCCGGGUGGGGGCUGGGGGUGCGGCGACCUCCAACCCGGUCCGGGGGAGGGGCGGGCAGCGGGUGGCGGUGUCCUGGUCCCCCGGUCUCCCGAUCCCCACUCUCCCAUCCCCCGUCCCCCGGCUCCCCGCGCCCCCGUCCGCCGCCCCCCUCCCCGCGCACUCACCUGCGCGCCCGCACCGCUCACUCAGCCCUGUCGGCAGCGACGGCCGCUCGGGACACGGUGGCCGGGGACACGAUGGCAGCGCUGAGCCGGCAGGGAGGCCGCCGAGUGCGGGCGCAGGUGUGCGGCCGGAGUGGGGCGCCGGCACCGUCCCCGCCCCCGUUGCCUGCAGGCGGCCGCGGGGGUGCGCGCGGCGGCCAGGUCUCCCGGGGUCCCCGCAGCGGUGUGAUGGGCGUCAGCGGCCGGGGGCGCGGGGACAGGCGCCGUCAGCACUCAUCCGUCAGGGCAGGGCUCUGGCCCCUGACAGCCGCGCUCCCACGAGCCGAGGCCUGGGGCUGCGCCCUGGGACCGGGAGCUGCGGGCGCCCCGCCAGAUCGGCGGGGGUGCAGCGGGACCACCCCCCAUGGCGCCCGGCCUGGGAGGAGGGCCGCAGCCCCGGGCGUGGGCGGGGGAGCAAGUCUCCUGGCCGCGCCCACCCUCCCGCCUGA